UGGGGAAUUUUGGACAAUGGGGGAAACCCUGAUCCAGCCAUCCCGCGUGUGCGAUGAAGGCCUUCGGGUUGUAAAGCACUUUUGGCAGGAAAGAAACGUCAUGGGUUAAUACCCCGUGAAACUGACGGUACCUGCAGAAUAAGCACCGGCUAACUACGUGCCAGCAGCCGCGGUAAUACGUAGGGUGCAAGCGUUAAUCGGAAUUACUGGGCGUAAAGCGUGCGCAGGCGGUUCGGAAAGAAAGAUGUGAAAUCCCAGAGCUCAACUUUGGAACUGCAUUUUUAACUACCGGGCUAGAGUGUGUCAGAGGGAGGUGGAAUUCCGCGUGUAGCAGUGAAAUGCGUAGAUAUGCGAAGGAACACCGAUGGCGAAGGCAGCCUCCUGGGAUAACACUGACGCUCAUGCACGAAAGCGUGGGGAGCAAACAGG
RNAcentral lists this ribosomal RNA (429 nucleotides) under Acidobacteriota bacterium. RNAcentral's name for it is "Acidobacteria bacterium partial 16S ribosomal RNA". It matches the Rfam family "Bacterial small subunit ribosomal RNA", at positions 355 to 776 of the family's 1533-position model. Lineage: Bacteria; Pseudomonadati; Acidobacteriota. The record is from RNAcentral.